AAUUGCACUUUACAGUGGUGUU
This 22-nucleotide microRNA is filed under the name Saccoglossus kowalevskii. RNAcentral describes it as "sko-miR-4818c". The record is from miRBase by way of RNAcentral. Lineage: Eukaryota; Metazoa; Hemichordata; Enteropneusta; Harrimaniidae.